CUUAUCUCUGCUCUCAUUAAUUUGUUUGCUUGUUGCUAUUUAUGUUGCUUCAGGUCAUUUCCUGCCACAAGCAGUGUCGUGUUCUUGCUUGGAGCACCUGAGAUGGUGGCCAUCUCCUCAGGGCAUCAAGGGACAACAUUAAUGCAGACAAUGGUAGGCUCAAAGCAGGAAUC
RNAcentral lists this long non-coding RNA (173 nucleotides) under Coturnix japonica (Japanese quail). RNAcentral's name for it is "lncRNA (ENSCJPG00005008567.1)". The record is from RNAcentral. Lineage: Eukaryota; Metazoa; Chordata; Aves; Galliformes; Phasianidae.